This 58-nucleotide transfer RNA is filed under the name Paenibacillus selenitireducens. It matches the Rfam family "tRNA", at positions 16 to 71 of the family's 71-position model. From Rfam's summary of the family: Transfer RNA (tRNA) molecules are approximately 80 nucleotides in length. Their secondary structure includes four short double-helical elements and three loops (D, anti-codon, and T loops). Further hydrogen bonds mediate the characteristic L-shaped molecular structure. tRNAs have two regions of fundamental functional importance: the anti-codon, which is responsible for specific mRNA codon recognition, and the 3' end, to which the tRNAs corresponding amino acid is attached (by aminoacyl-tRNA synthetases). tRNAs cope with the degeneracy of the genetic code in two manners: having more than one tRNA (with a specific anti-codon) for a particular amino acid; and 'wobble' base-pairing, i.e. permitting non-standard base-pairing at the 3rd anti-codon position. The record is from Rfam by way of RNAcentral. Lineage: Bacteria; Bacillati; Bacillota; Bacilli; Caryophanales; Paenibacillaceae.
UGGUUAGAGCGCACCCCUGAUAAGGGUGAGGUCGGUGGUUCGAGUCCACUAGGGCCCA